CUCCGGUUGAUCCUGCCGGACCCGACUGCUAUCAGAGUGGGACUAAGCCAUGCGAGUCAACAUAGCAAUAUGUGGCAUACGGCUCAGUAACACGUAGUCAACAUGCCCAGGGGACGUGGAUAACCUCGGGAAACUGAGGAUAAACCGCGAUAAGUCACUACUUCUGGAAUGGGUAAUGACUCAAAUCUACAUGGCCCCUGGAUUGGACUGCGGCCGAUCAGGCUGUUGGUGAGGUAAUGGCCCACCAAACCUGUAACCGGUACGGGCUCUGAGAGGAGGAGCCCGGAGAUGGGCACUGAGACAAGGGCCCAGGCCCUAUGGGGCGCAGCAGGCGCGAAACCUCUGCAAUAGGCGAAAGCCUGACAGGGUUACUCUGAGUGAUUUCCGUUAAGGAGAUCUUUUGGCACCUCUAAAAAUGGUGCAGAAUAAGGGGUGGGCAAGUCUGGUGUCAGCCGCCGCGGUAAUACCAGCACCCCGAGUGGUCGGGACGUUUAUUGGGCCUAAAGCAUCCGUAGCCGGUUCUACAAGUCUUCCGUUAAAUCCACCUGCUUAACAGAUGGGCUGCGGAAGAUACUAUAGAGCUAGGAGGCGGGAGAGGCAAGCGGUACUCGAUGGGUAGGGGUAAAAUCCGUUGAUCCAUUGAAGACCACCAGUGGCGAAGGCGGCUUGCCAGAACGCGCUCGACGGUGAGGGAUGAAAGCUGGGGGAGCAAACCGGAUUAGAUACCCGGGUAGUCCCAGCUGUAAACGAUGCAGACUCGGUGAUGGGUUGGCUUCGAGCCAACCCAGUGCCGCAGGGAAGCCGUUAAGUCUGCCGCCUGGGGAGUACGGUCGCAAGACUGAAACUUAAAGGAAUUGGCGGGGGAGCA
RNAcentral lists this ribosomal RNA (868 nucleotides) under uncultured archaeon. RNAcentral's name for it is "bacterial SSU rRNA". It matches the Rfam family "Archaeal small subunit ribosomal RNA", at positions 1 to 878 of the family's 1478-position model. The record is from RNAcentral.